Mytilus californianus (California mussel) is the source of this 711-nucleotide long non-coding RNA. RefSeq lists it as uncharacterized. The transcript is spliced from 3 exons. The record is from RefSeq and is a predicted model, not a curated record. Lineage: Eukaryota; Metazoa; Mollusca; Bivalvia; Mytilida; Mytilidae.
AACAUCCACAUCAGUAAGGGGAAAGAACUCAUUAAUCUAACGCAAACAUGGCGGCUAUCCGGGGAAAAUCAAGUUUUGUGUUUACAAAAAGAUUGUUUGUUCACUGUUGGUCACUUAAUGUAAGUGGGAAAAACUGAUUGGAUAAAGAUAUUAAACAGUCUUUAUAGUACAUGUGAAAUAGGAGACUCAUCUGAUUGUGGAAGUUUGUGUAGUUGAAAGGAGUUACAUACAGAUGCUGUUUUGAAUCAUAAGAAAUGACUGAUAUUAAUUCAUUUCUUCAGUUCCUCAUUAGCUUCUUCACAAGGAAUAAAUUGUGUAAGGAGUUCUAUAUUCCUAUUUAAAGACCUAACUUUUUUUUCCAUUUGAGCGUAUGAAAGCAAAUUAAUUGAAUUCAUUCUGAAUACUGAGCUUAUAUAGUUUUAUGUACAUGUAUAUGUGACUUUAUCUUUAUUUGACUUUUUAUUUAUAAGUUAUUUAAACAUUAAUAAUUUUAUUCUUUGUAUGAGAAGCUAUAAUCAAUCGACUACUAGUAUAUAUUUUUUUCUCACCUGGGAUGAAAGUCCGGGAAAGUGAGACAUAAGGGUUCCUUUUCUGGCGACGAUGGCUCUUGCAUCAACAAUUGUUAAGUUUUCUGCUUAAGUUAGUAAGUUUGACAGGUAUUACUUGUGAUAGAUCAUUGAUAUUUAAUAUAAAGUUGUAUUACUAUCAGUA